GCCCUGGCCGCCCUACCUGGUAUCUGGGAUCUUCUGGGUGCACAGCCACUGCCACGUCUCCCAGCAUGGUCUCAAUCCGGGUUGUCGCCACCACCACCUCUUCGUCACUGUCUGGGGUAACAGAGGCCUCAGGGGCUCAGGCCUGGCCCUGCCCCACCCAGCCCAGAGACCUGGUGCCCCAGGCUCCUACCUGAGCCCUGGACCUUAUAAGCAAAGGACACAAGGACCCCAAACUCCACCUUCUCCUUGUAGCCAGGCACAGAGAGAAGGGUGCGACCCGUCAACUCCUUCUUAUCCACCUGCAGGAGGGGUAUUUAGAGAGCUAGCUCUGGAGCAAGGGCUGGGGACAGACUGAGACAGGGGGGGGGGGCAGUGCACCUCGAUGUCGGAGAUGGCGGAGUUGAGGGUGCAGGACCAGUUGACCAGGCGCGUGCUGCGGUAGAUGACGCCUUCCUCAUGAAGACGGACAAAAGCCUCCGUUACGGCUGCUGACAGUUUCUAGGGUGGAGCAGGGACAAGUCAGAGAGCUGGGCUUGGGAGCCUGGAGGCUGAGGCAGACGCGCAAGGCGGCAAGGUCCAGGGAGGCCUGUCCUGCCAGUCCCCCAGAUGCACACGGGGCUGCUCUGAGGGAGAAGUGCAGGUGACAAGCCUGUGUGAUGCUGGGAUGGUGAGGAGCCGGGGUCACGUGCUGGUGCAAGGCAUCCUGGGAGCUCAGGUGCCAUGGGAGGGGGAGGCCUAAUCACGGAGAAAUGUGGAGCCUUGGGGUGACUGAGGACAGAGGAUGUGAAGGGCUACAACUGGGGUAGGAAGUGGCAUUUGCAGCUAAGCCUUCAGGGUGUCCUAGGAGAGGGGUCACCUCCUAAGGGAAGGUCGAAACAGGGCUCCUCUGCUGAGCCCCGACCUGGGGAGCCUCCCAUUCCCACCCCAGCCCAGAGACCCCGUCCUACGCACAGGGUCCAUGGUGAAACAGGCUCGCUCCCAGUCCAGGGAGCUGCCAAGCUUCUUCAGCUGGUGGUAAAUCCGGCCACCGUGCCUGCUGCAGGCGCCCGCGAGGUCGCUGCCUACUCACUCCUCCUUCCACUUCCAGACCUCCUGCAGGAAGGCCUCACGCCCCAGCUGGUGCCGGCUCAGGCCCCGCUCCCGCCAUAGCUUCUUCUCCACCACCACCUGGGUGGCGAUGCCUGCAUGGUCACAGCCUGGGUUCCACAAGGUGGUCUCGCCGCGCAUGCGGUGCCUGGGGGAGGGCAGGAGAGCGAGGGUGAGCCAGGCCAGUGUCCAGCACUGGAAGAAGCAGG
Molecule: long non-coding RNA, 1295 nt
Filed under: Heterocephalus glaber (naked mole-rat)
Lineage: Eukaryota; Metazoa; Chordata; Mammalia; Rodentia; Bathyergidae
Description: lncRNA (ENSHGLG00000032768.1)
Source: RNAcentral